GUUAUUAUAAAUAUUAACGUCAUUUAACAAACAAAAUGUGAUAUUCCAUAUCAAGGAUUAAUAUGUCGGUAACACUUACUUACAGAGAAACCAUUAAUCUUUUAAUUGAUUGUGUCAUCCAAAUCACAAUAUUAUAUCUUAUAAAACGACAUUUACUGUCUGAAAAUGGAAAAAGCUACAACUUACGUUUAAAUACAAUCCAACGGCCGACGGAAAGUCUAACUACAUUGCCAUAACCUCAAUAGCCACGACAGAUGACAAGGUGUACCUAAUCCCUGAAGAGUAUCAAGCAGCUUCACUUCAUAAACAAAUACAAACUUUAAAAUCGUUUGUUACAGUGAGAAACACAUAAAAAAAAGAUAUCAAACAAGAAGUGUAUGGAUAAAAGUAACUGAGAGUAUUUUACAAACAUACUUUGACGAAGCUGAAAAUAUGAUCUUUCAGGACUAAUGUCUUGAAGAAAUAACCCAGGAACAACUGGCUAUUAGUUAUAGAAAGAGCACUGGAAAUCCUGUAGUAAAAAUUUUAGAAAAAUUUAUUGAUGUUCAGCAGAAAACAGAAAAAUAAAAUAUAAGAAAAUUAACAGAGAAAUUUGUGAUUGAACAGUUUGAUAGAAAAAAUUUAAAUGCAUGUCAGUGGAUGUAGGUUUUUGAAAAAGAAUGUGCAAGGUUUGAUUUAGGAACAAUUGAAGAAAAGAUUGAAAUUCUUAGAUUUUUUCAAGAAAAAUCAUGCACUUAUUGGUAAACAUCCAUGAUGAUUAAAUUUACCUUACAGUCAGAAUAGUCAGCAUGGAAAAGAAACUUCUUAAAAACAUUUGGUAAUAAAGGAUGGACUACAAGCAACUAUGCUUUAUCUUUCAAAUAUCAAGCAGGAGGCUCUCUGUUAGAAUAUGCAAUAAAAAAGGAAAAACUCUUACUUGAAACAAGAAAAACAAUGGACCAGGGCACUCUUAUAGAUAUUAUUGCUGCCGGCUUACCAGACUUCAUUACAGAUAGAAUUGACAAAGAGAAUAUUACAUACACACAAGACUUAUUUAAUGAUCUGGGAAAGUUGGAACAUUUUGUUACAAAGAAAAGAUCCAUAAAAUUCAAAAAAAAAUAAUACCAAGCCAAUAAAGGAAAAAUGUAAAAUUUGUGAGAAGUAGAACAAAGGAGUGUUGUAUCAUUCAGAAGGUAACUGUUGGUUCAAGACAAAAAUAAAUAGUCAAAAAAAGAAAAAACAAAUAAGUCUUAUAAAUAAUUCAGAAUUGGAAUGUGAACUACAAAGUGAAGUACAAAAAAACAACUAGUGCCGCCAUUAAUUAAAGUAAAAUUAACAUUAAACAGAAACAUUUAAAUAUUUGGUAUAUAUGACUCGGGUUCAAAUGUCUCAUUGAUAAAUUCAAAACUUCUAAGGAUAAAAAAUAAAGAACUGAGUUAUAAUAACACUACCAACUUAAAAACAAUUAAUGGCGUUAAAAAGGCAAAAGGCAUAAUAACACUUGAUGUUACAAUAUACAAUGUUUAGAAAAAAAAUGUUUUCGUUAUAGACAGUGUAAAUUUUGAUUAUUACUGAUAAUUUUAUUAUAAAAUAAAGGAAUUUUGGUGAAAAUAAACUACACUUGUUGUACCACAGAAUCAUAGACAAUUUAUAUUAGUUGAGCUGUCACAGACUAUAUAUUUACAUCUAGUAAAGUAUUAUAUAUGUAUGUACAUGGACUUAGUAUGGAAAGGCAAAAUUUAAUAAUUAGUUCAACACUCCUGCCAAAUUUGAGCCUUUCAUGUACUAAAUUAAUUACAAACGAAACAAAGUAAACUUACUUAAUUAUAUUAAAGAUUACACAACAUAUCUAUGGAUAACAUGCCAAUUUGGUCUCUCAUAGAUUGGAAUUUAUCUAAAAUAAAAUCAGCAAGUUGAUUGCAUGUUGAAACAUAUUUUAGAUCAAUAACUUUAGCAUAAAACUUUUCUUUUAUAAAAUGAUAUUUAGUGUCUAUAUGUUUACACCUCUUAUGAAAAUUUCCAUUUUUAAUAACGCUUAUUGCAUUUUGACUGUCUAUAUUUAUCACUACUAUUUGUUGCUGAAAUUCACCAAAAUGACAAUAAUUGUUUAAUCCAAAUGGCUUCUUUGGUGGCAGCACAGGCGGCCAUAAAUUCCGCUUCCGUAGUCGAUAGAGCGACAAUGUGUUGCCUUUGACUGCACCAUGUUACAGCAGCUCCACAUUUGAUAAAAAUGUAUCCAGUUGUUGAUCUUCUAGUUGUGAUGUCAUUAGCAUAAUCAGCAUUACUGUAGCCUACUAAUUCAGAAGGUUUUCAGAAACUCUGGCCAUAAUUGAUAGUGUCUUUGAGAUACUUUAGAAUCUUCUUGACAGCUGUCCAGUGAGUUUCAUUGUAGCAAUUCAAAAAUCUACUUACUAAGCUAACAGCAAACAUUAUGUAUGGUCUGCUUACUAUGGCGACAUUCAUCAAAGAACCAACAGCUUCUCUAUAAGUAAGAUUCUUGUCAGGCUGGUGCUCGCUUUUCUCUAGUUUUGAAUGAGGGUUAACUGGAACACUGUUGGGAUUGCAGAACCGACUUUGAUUUACAAAAUAGAAGCCCAUCAUCACAUCACAUAAAUACAGAGAUAAUACUUUGUUCCUUUAGUAUUUGCAACAGAUACACAUUGGUCUGCUUCACUAUUUAUGAAACCAAAUUUUUGAAGUACAGAAUAGAAUUUAGUGUUCCAGCACCGUGGUGCUUGUUUAAGACCAUACAGUGACUUUAUCAAUUUACAUACUUUAUUGGGUUCAUGUAUUAGACCUUCAGGGGGAUACAUAUAUAUGUUUUCUUCUAGUUCCCCAUACAGAAAAGCUGUCUUCGUGUCAAGUUGAAGAAUUUCAUAACCAUUUUGAGCAGCUAGAGAUAACAAUAAAUGUAUGGAAUCAUACCUGACAGUGGGUGAGUAUGUUUCCUUAUAGUCAAUACCUUGUGCCUGUGCAUAACCCUUUGCACAAAGCCUGGACUUGAAGCGAGGACCUGUUGGUUGGUCUUUUAUUCUAAAGACCCAUUUACAGCCAAUGAUGUUUGUAUUUUCAGGCAUGCUCACCAAUAUCCAUGUUCCAUUUCUUUCAUGGGCUUCAAGUUCUUCUUCAAUUGAAUUUUUCCAUUUUUCAGUGUUCACACAUCUAAUAGCUUCCCUGUAUGUUUCGGGGACUUGCUCAGGCACUAAGCAUUCAUCAUAGCAAAGGUGUUGUUUGUUGUUGUUAUCAUAGGUUUAUUCUUUAUUUUUGUUUCUAGGUCUCAAUGUUAUGUUGCUUCGGGAAGGAGUAAUCUUGAUUUCUGGUAAGUUUUCAUCUAAAUUUGAAUUAUUUUUAACAGGAUUAUCUGAGCUCUCUGUGUUAUAAGGUUCUUCCCUUCCUUCUUCA
Danaus plexippus (monarch butterfly) is the source of this 3381-nucleotide long non-coding RNA. RefSeq lists it as uncharacterized. The transcript is spliced from 3 exons. The record is from RefSeq and is a predicted model, not a curated record. NCBI's taxonomy places the organism in Eukaryota, Metazoa, Arthropoda, Insecta, Lepidoptera, Nymphalidae.